GACGAACGCUGGCGGCGUGCUUAACACAUGCAAGUCGAACGGAAAGGCCCUGCUUUUGUGGGGUGCUCGAGUGGCGAACGGGUGAGUAACACGUGAGUAACCUGCCCUUGACUUUGGGAUAACUUCAGGAAACUGGGGCUAAUACCGGAUAGGAGCUCCUGCUGCAUGGUGGGGGUUGGAAAGUUUCGGCGGUUGGGGAUGGACUCGCGGCUUAUCAGCUUGUUGGUGGGGUAGUGGCUUACCAAGGCUUUGACGGGUAGCCGGCCUGAGAGGGUGACCGGCCACAUUGGGACAGAGGUACGGCCCAGACUCCUACGGGAGGCAGCAGUGGGGAAUAUUGCACAAUGGGCGGAAGCCUGAUGCAGCAACGCCGCGUGCGGGAUGACGGCCUUCGGGUUGUAAACCGCUUUCGCCUGUGACGAAGCGUGAGUGACGGUAAUGGGUAAAGAAGCACCGGCUAACUACGUG
RNAcentral lists this ribosomal RNA (468 nucleotides) under uncultured bacterium. RNAcentral's name for it is "partial 16S ribosomal RNA". It matches the Rfam family "Bacterial small subunit ribosomal RNA", at positions 28 to 507 of the family's 1533-position model. The record is from RNAcentral.